CCUACGGGUGACAGCAGUGGGGGAUAUUGCACAAUGGGGGAAACCCUGAUGCAGCGACGCCGCGUGGGCGAAGAAGUAUUUCGGUAUGUAAAGCCCUAUCAGCAGGGAAGAAGAAAUGACGGUACCUGAUUAAGAAGCACCGGCUAAAUACGUGCCAGCAGCCGCGGUAAUACGUAUGGUGCAAGCGUUAUCCGGAUUUACUGGGUGUAAAGGGGGCGCAGGCGGCACGGCAAGCCUGAUGUGAAAGCCCGGGGCCCAACCGCGGGACUGCACUGGGAACUACGGGGCUGGAGUGCCAGAGAGGUAGGCGGAAUUCCUAGUGUAGCGGUGAAAUGCGUAGAUAUUAGGAGGAACACCAGUGGCGAAGGCGGCCUACUGGACGGUGACUGACGCUGAGGCUCGAAAGCGUGGGGAGCAAACAGGAUUAGAUACCCCAGUAGUC
Molecule: ribosomal RNA, 442 nt
Filed under: uncultured bacterium
Lineage: Bacteria
Description: partial 16S ribosomal RNA
Rfam family: Bacterial small subunit ribosomal RNA
Source: RNAcentral